UGAUAAUUAGUUUAAUUAAAAUAAUUGGUUUCGACCCAUUAGACUAUGAUUUAUUUCAUAAUUAUCAU
RNAcentral lists this transfer RNA (68 nucleotides) under Hylomys suillus microtinus. Its description in RNAcentral is "tRNA-Arg". It matches the Rfam family "tRNA". From Rfam's summary of the family: Transfer RNA (tRNA) molecules are approximately 80 nucleotides in length. The record is from RNAcentral. Lineage: Eukaryota; Metazoa; Chordata; Mammalia; Eulipotyphla; Erinaceidae.